RNAcentral lists this transfer RNA (77 nucleotides) under Serratia marcescens. Its description in RNAcentral is "tRNA-Pro". It matches the Rfam family "tRNA". From Rfam's summary of the family: Transfer RNA (tRNA) molecules are approximately 80 nucleotides in length. Their secondary structure includes four short double-helical elements and three loops (D, anti-codon, and T loops). The record is from RNAcentral. RNAcentral also lists the same sequence under 1 other name. Lineage: Bacteria; Pseudomonadati; Pseudomonadota; Gammaproteobacteria; Enterobacterales; Yersiniaceae.
CGGCAUGUAGCGCAGCCUGGUAGCGCACCGUCAUGGGGUGUCGGGGGUCGGAGGUUCGAAUCCUCUCUCGCCGACCA